Molecule: long non-coding RNA, 5992 nt
Filed under: Chinchilla lanigera (long-tailed chinchilla)
Lineage: Eukaryota; Metazoa; Chordata; Mammalia; Rodentia; Chinchillidae
Description: lncRNA (ENSCLAG00000029043.1)
Source: RNAcentral
AUCGGGGCCUGUGAUGGAGUUAGUCUGUGUCUGAGGCAGCCCCGGGGAGAGCGUGACGGUGCGUGUGUGGCACCGCGUGUGCCCGUGUGAGCGCGUGUGGCCGUCAGCAUUCUAUCUGGGGAGAACUGUGUCACAGGCGAAGCCACAGCGCUGCUGUCCUGGGCGGUCCCCGCGGUGCUGUCCCGGGCCGUGGGAGGCAGCGUGUGCCGUUCUUGCGGUGACGCACCCGCUUGUGGUAGAAGCGCGUGGCCGUCUGCAGCCGGGUCUCGUGUUCCCCCCGGGUCCCGGCCCUACCCGCGUGUGUGGGCGGCAGGGCUCCCGCAGUGUCCCCCACCCGGGCUGCAGCGGUGACUCAGGGGCUGGUUUGUCCUCGAGGACCGAGGUGAGCAGGACAGGCGCCUUUCAGAGGACUUUGCGUGGCAGAUGCGGGAACGCAGACUCGGUUCCCGGGGUCUCAGCUGCCCCACCGUUUCUGCCCUGGCCAGAGGGUACCGGGAAGUCGCCCCCACCCGUCGCUGGGUGGGGCGGCCGCUUCCUGAGAGCACAGGAAGGCAGGGAGGGGCUUGGUCCUGGGGCACCCAGGGACACACCCAGAAAUCACCCCUUACUCUCCCAGCCCCUCGCACUGCCGCUGUGGGGCUGUCCCCUGCCCUGUGCUGCGGGCCAAAUGCGUGAAGUGCAGGCUUGCUUGGAGUGCCUCCCUGCGCAGGCUUCCGGGUUCGGGGAGGACCAGGCCCUCGUGCCCUGCACCAACUACAUCGUCCAGCACGGCCGCACGGCAGGGUGCCUCCUGCAGGGCCGGGACGACGUCCUGAACCUCACCAUCCGCGACGGGCCCCGCCCCGUGCUCUCCAUGCGGCGCUGGGUGGCUGAAUACCUGAAGCCCAGCUCCCCGAGAGACCUGCAGUUCCUGUGGGGACAGGAGGCCGUGACCGUGCUGUGCUCCCCGCUGCCCCACCCGGGGCUGCUCUACGAGGUGCAGCACACGACCCCCCACGACACCCAGUGGCAGUCCCAGGUGUCAGAGGUGUGCAACAUAACCAUCAGGGGCGUGGACGUAGAGCAGUGCCACCUCUUCCGGGCCAGGGUGAAGACCAAGGAUUCCUACUACGGCCCCAAAGCCUCCCCGAGCGACUGGUCUCAGGUCACGCACUGGCGGGGAGCCACAACUGAAGAUUCCUGUGUGCAGCCGCUUGUGGGCCUCUGGCCCAGGUGGACGCGGUUCUUCCUGGUCUGCAGCCUGGUGUCGCUGCUGACGGUGGCCCUGCUGCUGGUCGCCCUGUGGAAAGCACAGAGGUGAGAACCCUGCAGGCGGGCGGCCUUGAAACUCCCCCAUGCCAGGUUGGCAACAAGAGUGCGGACAACAGUCACCGUCCCGCUGUCAUUUCCCCGCCUGGCACAGAGUCACGGCGAACCCCGGUUUGCUGAGGGCUCAGGCCAGGAAUUUGGGCACAGGGCGGAACAAGCGUGGUUUUCUUUAGGUGUCACUGUUAUGAGUUCAUACUUGCGGGAUCUGAUGACCCAUUCCUCCUGGGGGGUCGGGGCUCACACAGAACACAGCCUCGUUCCGUGUCCACCCCUCCCCUCGCCCUCAUAUCUGGUCACCCUACUUCCUGUCCUGUAUCUUUUGUCUUGUGCUGUAUUUAUUUGGGCUUGUCAUAGAACAGAAACCACCCAAUACUGGAGCUCGUGGGUCUGAUUUAUUGCACACAACAGCACGAUCUCCAGGUGCACCCAUUUUCCUACCUGUGACUAAAGCCUAUCCUUCUUCCUGGCUGCAUAAUAGUCCACUGUGUAUAAACACCACGUUUAUUUUACCAUUCCUCUCCUGAUGAACAUACAGUCUGAUUCCCAGAUUCAGUUGCUUUCUCAAUAGAUGGAGACAAAACCUUUGAGGAAGCCCACAGUCCCCUCGGGACACAAAGCCCAAAGACUUAGGGUGAUCCGUGUGUCACCUUCUGUCCACAGCUUUGAAUAUAGUUGUGUGUCGUACCACAAAGUGUCGCUCAAGAACCAUCCCCAUACACAACCUGAUGGGGUUAUACUGCAGCUGGGCAACUCUAGCUGCCCCUUGAGUCUGUAGGGUUCCUAAUUCCACACGGACUCCACACGCGUGUGCGGAACCCCGCGGUAAGUGACCGCAGCUAUGUGAAAGCACACAGACAAGUGUACGGCGUGCUCCGCGCUAAUCCUUGGUGGUGCUGCGGUUGGUGUAUGUUGCUGCACUAUGCACUUCGUGUUUCUCUGUUUCAUUUGCGUGCGGGCAGCGGAAGCAGAGCCUCGCCUGCUAGGCCUCCCUGUGCCAGACCCCUGCAUUCCUUGUGUGAAAAUUACAUCUCACUGAUCCUCCAUCCUCCUGCCUCAGCCUCCAAGUAGCUGGGACUACAGAGCGCAGCUCAGGGCAUAGGCCCUUGACGGUGUCUGUAGAGAUAGAGAAUGAACUCGUACAAGGUCUCAGAGUGCGGCCCUGCAGUAAGAGACUGGUAUGCCGGGUGUGGUGGUGCAUGCCUGUCAUGCCAGCAGCUCAGGAGGCUGAGGCAGGAAGAUUGCUUCAGGCUCAAGGCCAGUGUGGGCCACAUAGCAAGACCCUGUCUGGAAAUACAAAUAACAAAUAAAAGGUAUCUAACUCUAUACCCUUGACGGAAAUAAAGUAGCAGAAUAAAAUACAUCUAAGCUUAUGCAUUUCAUUACAAAUUAAAGGUUACAAUGUACCCAAGCCCAUGUGAUACAAUGUAUCCAGGCCUGCGGAUUAGGGUGGAAGCAAAUGCAGAAUAAAUCAGGUUUACCCGCUCCCCCCUCCCGGAAUGAAACUGCCCUCCCCCCUUGGGUGGAGAGCAUAGGAAUGGAUAAUCCACCAUGUUCCUUAGCUGGGGCCGCCGUAAGCAUUUUGCGGCCCUGGGGGUCAAAGCCAGGGCCUUGGCAUGGACCCACCACCCUGGCCCUUUUUCAUUUAUACUUGAGCCAGGGUUCCGCUAAGUCUCUACAUAGCCCAGGCGGGAGUUACGCUGGAGAUCCUCCUGCCUCAGCCUCCCGAGUGUGGGGAUGACAGGCGUGGGCCCGGCGUGCGUGGCUCUCUCACUGUGUUCAUUUCAGGGUGAAGAGGCUGCUGAUGCCCAGCGUGCCGGACCCCAGGGGCAGCUUCUCCGGGCUCUUCGAGCACCACCAGGGCAACCUCCAGGUGCCCACCUCGCCAUGCCCCUCUCCUCUGAGCCCCGCGCCCCCCGCCCCGCAUCCUCCACCCACUUCCUCUCCACAGACCUGUGCACAAAUCGGUCCCAUCCAUGGGCUCUGGGCUUUUGGACACAGUUUCGUUUUUAUUGGGGGGGGAGGGGACAGCGGGGGGAGGGGAGAGGCCGGGGUGAGCUCAGCGGGUGCCGGGUUUGCAAAGAGAAAUACUGGCCCGAGUUCAUCCGGGAGGGACGGAGGCUUCCCGCUCUUUGGAUUCUUAGCUUCAUCCCAAGAGUAGGCUGGCCAGCGGGUGUGGUUGUGCACACCUGUCAUCCCAGCACUUGGGAGGCUGAGGCAGGAGGAUCGCUGUGAGUUUGAGACCAGCCUGGGCUACAAAGUGAGCUCAAGGCCAGCCUGAACUGCAUAGCGAGACCCUGUCUCAAAAAGCCAAAAGAAAACCCAAACAGGUGGGUGAGUCAAAGUGGUGGUGUGGAGGAGCUGGCUUCCUGUCCUCCCUAGGCUCCCAUAAGGGACGGUCACCACGCAGACCCUGCGCACCCCAGCCGGGGGCGCUGACCCGGGUGUCCCCGCAGGAGUGGAUCGCCGACACCCAGGACGUGGCCCCGUGGAGGAAGCCGCCCGGCGGGGAGCAGGAGCAGCCGUCUGAGCAGACCCUGGAGGUCCAGCUGUCCAGGGUAGACACAGAGCUGCCGGCCGCCCCACCCACGCGGGAGGAAGAGGCCCCCGCGGGGUCCCCGAGGCUCCCUCCCCGGGACCCCCAGGCCGGCAACCUGGUGUCCCUCGGCGGCUUCACCUUUGUCAUGACUGACAGCGCCUACAUGAAGUUGUGAGCCGGCCCCGCGGCCAGCACGGGACGCCUCACCGGCAGCCAGGAACGGCGGGAAUAUUGCCACGCUCCCGGGACACGACCCUUCUCGGUCUUCAUUUCAAAACGGGAUGUGACUACUUCUCCCCCGGCCUUGGACUUGCGAUCCUCCUGCCUCAGCCUCCCGAGUGGCUGGGGCUACAGAUGUGCGUCACAUCUGUUUUGAACUUUGUCCCCACCUCUACCUGUGGUUGCACAGGGUGUGACCUGGGCAGAAUUCUAAAGGGAUGUGUCCGUCCUGAAUUAUUUUACUUUAUGUUUUUUUGAGACAAGGUCUCACUCUGUAGCCCAGGCUGGCCUUGAACUCACGGCGAUCCUCCUGCCUCAGCCUCCCGAGUGCUGUGAUGACAGGCGUGUCCACUGCAGCCGUCCCAUCCCGACUUCUGAACCGUGCAGCACGACCUUGCUGACCCGAGGGGGUUGCUGCCGGGAGUCUGGGGAGGGGAGGAGGGGGCAGCCUGGUCUGCAGAUUCGUACAAAGCGGUGGCCGGGGCUGGGGCCGCUUCUGGGAACGGGAGGGGAUGGUGCAGACGGCACAGGCGGAGCCGGGGCUGGUGGAGGGGAUUCGAUUUGCACGCGGGUGUGGGCGGCCGUGUCGGGAGCUCCCUGCCCCCCCCCCAGGGUUCACAGCACACACCGGGUGCAAGGAGAACGUUGGACCGCACACCGGAGCAGAGUCAGAACGCGAAUCCACUGUGUCCCGGGCAAAGCGGGGGACUCACGACUCUGACCCCAAACUCACUGGGCCCGGAUCCUUCCCUAGCUCUUUUGUAUUUUGUAUUUUGUAUUUUUUUAAAUUUAAUUUUUUCUUUUUUUGAGACAGGGUCUCCCUAUGCGGUUCAGGCUGGCCUUGAGCUCACUUUGUAGCCCAGGCUGGUUUCGAACUUGCAACGAUCCUCCUGCCUCAGCCUCCUGAGUGCUGGUAUUACAGGCUUGCACCACCAUGCCCGGCUUGUUCAUAUUAAUUCUGGGUUUUGAGACAGGGUCUUGCUAUGUCCAUCAACUUCCCAGGCUGAGCUCCAACUUGGGACCCUCCUGCCUCAGCCUCCCGAGGAGCUGGGUGGCCAGCGCACGCCCCCACACACAGCCUCCACACUCCGCAGAAGGCAAAGGCGGGUUUCUCCCCGGGACGGAAACCACGGCUCAAACUCUGCCCUCGAGCGCCCCUGCCUUCUCACUAACCAACCGGGGCACUGGGGCUUGAACCUGGGGUGUCAGCACCAAGCGCCGUCCCCGACCCUUUUUUAUGUUUAAUUUUGAGGCAGGGUCUCGCUAAGUCACGCAGGUGCCCAGGCUGGGCUGGACCUGGGGAUCCCCCUGCCUCAGCCUCCCGGGGUGGUGAGAUUAUAGGUCUGCACCAACCGUAUCUUGGGGUCUGAAGGCUGGAACUGGGGAUCCCUCUGUGCAGACCCCGGGGGGCUUGCUGAGCGGCACACAGGGGCCCCGAGCCAGACACACAUCUGGUUGUGCAACACCAACGGCCUCCCGGGUCUGACGUCCUGCGGUUUCCUGUCUGCCUCCGCCGAGCGCCCGGCAACAAAGCCCCAUUGUGCGCUCGGCACCACCGCCCCGGGCAUGUGCGGAGAGGAACUGAGAGCCUCCUCGGCCUUCUGCGCUGCUCUGGGACUCCAGGCGGCCUGAGUGUGAGGCCCCACCCCUCGGGAGGCUGAGGCGGGGGCAUCUCUGAGAGUUGGAGUUGCCCUGGACAGCUGGCCCACCUAGCGAGACCUUGUCUCAAAAUAAAACACGAAAAACGCUUCUCUGAACGGGAAAGACUCACGGCUUGGGGCCAAAUCCGGGCAUCGCACCCCAAAAUUGUCUUUGCAUGACCUGUGGAGAUCAGGCAUUUUAGGAAAACUGAGGCAAGGAAGAAAUCCACCGCUGGGAUUUCUGUGCCGGCUCCUCCCUGGCAUCCCCACACCCCCACUCUUACCCCAA